UUUGGUAGAUUUUAAGUUCCAAUCGCCACUUUACAGACAGGUAUGGUCACAUCCUUUUUUCUUUUAGAAACAUUUUAUUGUGAAUUGAUGGAAGAUGCUUGUCUUCAUUUUCCUUUUUUAUGUUUGAUUCUGAUUGUAAAAGUGCUGAUGUCCAACUUUGUUUCUUAAAAAUACUUAGACAGUAGAGCUUCUAAGUCAAAUUACAUAUGAAUGAACUAAUCCAUGCAAUAUUGUGAGAUAUUUCUACAUCAUGACAUGCACUUGGAAGUGCAUUGUUAUCUUUGUGCAACUGCAUAUAGAAUUGCAAAAAUACUAAUGCAAUAUAAUGUUUUUGAAGUGGUUGAAAUUUGGAUCUUAGAAAUUAAUUUGCUAAAGUAGAUUACAAUUUGCACGGGUGAUGGAUCUGUGCACUCUCAAAAAGCUAUAUACACUAUCCAUAUAUGUGCUAAUUGCCCAUCCAUUCAAUCGGGGUGAAAAAAAACCUGGAUGCCCCUUGUUGAAUACAAUAUCAUAACUUUCAUUAUCAACGAUGUUGGACUACUAAAAAUUUUAGAGAUGCAUCCUGUGCUUUUCAUAGAAGUUUGCUGCUUUAGGUAAAAUUCCUUAAAACACUGAUGUACAAGACCACUUUUUAGAAAGCUUGAGAUACCAAUUUGUAAAUCAAAAUUGCAAUUUUGAGAGGCAGUUUGUUAGAAACAAUGUUUAUGCUAUCAUGAAUACUUUACUCCUUGAUUUUAUUGUUUAGUCAUGUGUGUGGGUCGAUGAACUCCUGUUCUUGGUGUAUGUCUUCUAUUUACAAGAGGUGACUAUAAUGGGACUCUAUCAGUGUUAUCAAGGAGAAAGGCGAUAGUA
RNAcentral lists this unclassified non-coding RNA (852 nucleotides) under Hevea brasiliensis (rubber tree). Lineage: Eukaryota; Viridiplantae; Streptophyta; Magnoliopsida; Malpighiales; Euphorbiaceae. The record is from RNAcentral.